RNAcentral lists this ribosomal RNA (492 nucleotides) under uncultured bacterium. RNAcentral describes it as "partial 16S ribosomal RNA". It matches the Rfam family "Bacterial small subunit ribosomal RNA", at positions 29 to 507 of the family's 1533-position model. The record is from RNAcentral.
AGUGAACGCUGGCGGUAGGCCUAACACAUGCAAGUCGAACGGCAGCACAGUAAGAGCUUGCUCUUGCGGGUGGCGAGUGGCGGACGGGUGAGGAAUACAUCGGAAUCUACUUUUUCGUGGGGGAUAACGUAGGGAAACUUACGCUAAUACCGCAUACGACCUACGGGUGAAAGCAGGGGAUCUUCGGACCUUGCGCGAUUGAAUGAGCCGAUGUCAGAUUAGCUAGUUGGCGGGGUAAAGGCCCACCAAGGCGACGAUCCGUAGCUGGUCUGAGAGGAUGAUCAGCCACACUGGAACUGAGACACGGUCCAGACUCCUACGGGAGGCAGCAGUGGGGAAUAUUGGACAAUGGGCGCAAGCCUGAUCCAGCCAUACCGCGUGGGUGAAGAAGGCCUUCGGGUUGUAAAGCCCUUUUGUUGGGAAAGAAAAGCAGCAGGUUAAUACCCCGCUGUUCUGACGGUACCCAAAGAAUAAGCACCGGCUAACUUCGUG